Anas platyrhynchos (mallard) is the source of this 1290-nucleotide long non-coding RNA. RefSeq lists it as uncharacterized. NCBI's taxonomy places the organism in Eukaryota, Metazoa, Chordata, Aves, Anseriformes, Anatidae. The record is from RefSeq and is a predicted model, not a curated record.
CCACGGGCUUAGUCCUCUUGAUUCCUAUUAUGGCACAUAAUUAGAGGUGGCCUAAUGUUCACUGAAAACAAGGUUACACAGUCCAACAGUGCAGCAUUAGGGUCUGCCUUAUUAGUGACCCUCGAAAAUUAACUUGAGUAGCUCCCGUCUCCUGCCUCCAUGCAGCAGCUUGUGCCCACUUGGUUAUACCACUGCAACCAGCUCUGCUUUUUGACUUUUAAUCCUGAUUCCAACACAGCCUCAUGCACAGCGUGAUGGGGCAAGCAGUGAAAUUCAUCAGGGGAGCCACGAGCAACUCCAAGGCUCCCAAAGGCAGCUCCCUCUCCCACCCAGCACAGGGCAAUAGGCAGACGAGCCUGCAGGCUCAAACGUCUGGGUGUCCAGCUGCGGAUCUCCAUCCCCUAAUGAGCGGUGCAUUGGCAUCAUAUUCACAUAUACACUUCAAUCAGCCCACAGAUGAAGCCAGCGCCACACAUUUAUUAACAUUUGAGGUGGGAGGAGAUGUUUCCAGCGUUAUCAGAGCACAGAGCGAGGCGACAGCUUGGGGCAAGCUCUCUGGCUUCACCGACCCGGCGUGAAGCCCUCCCUGUUCAGUUCCUUGUGGGCCCAGAGGCUCACAGGGGCCGGGGGUACGGCUCCUCAGCAUCCCCCAGGCACAGAGAGCUGUUAGGGCCCUCUGGGGGCUGGCUCUGUCCCUGUGCCACCCUGAGGAAAGAUUUGGGACCACUUUUUCCUGCGGCUGGGCCGGGCGGGGCCCCCUCAGGCCGGUGCCGCGGCUCCCCCUGGGGGCGGCCCCGCUCCGCGCAGCUUGAGGCAGGGCCGCGCUGGGCCUCGGGGGAUAGAUACGAUUUUUAUUUAUUUUUUGCCGUUUUGGGGAGCUGGAGGGAGCUGCCUCGCUCCUUGUUCACCCGUGGUGAAACCAAAGCGUGAGGAGGUGGCCAGGCUCGCUCGUGGCUGCAGUGCUGGCUCCCAAAGCAGCCGGCCUGGCUCGAAGCCCUCACCGGGCAAACGGGGCUGGCAGCACCCGGUGCUGCCAGGGCUCUGGGUGCUCGUGGGUCCGACCACAACCUUGAAAAAUUGGGGUUUGCACAAAAGCCAGCACCCAGGCCAGCUGCCUCUUGGCAGCACUGAGCCCCCUGCCCUCUUCUGCAGGCACCAGGGCACAGGAGAAGGUCUCGAACUUCUCGAGCCCAGUAAUGACACCGGGGAAAGGUUCCCGGCCCUGCUGCAAUCGCUGUUUCAAUUCCUACUUUGCCGAGGAGUGAACAGCACCAGGGCUUAAUCUCGAGG